AUACGGAGGGUGCAAGCGUUGUCCGGAUUUAUUGGGUUUAAAGGGUGCGUAGGCGGUGCGCUAAGUCAGUGGUGAAAUCCCGCAGCUCAACUGCGGAACUGCCAUUGAUACUGGCGCACUUGAGUACGGACGAGGUAGGCGGAAUUUAUGGUGUAGCGGUGAAAUGCAUAGAUACCAUAAAGAACACCGAUAGCGAAGGCAGCUUACUAGACCGUAACUGACGCUCAGGCACGAAAGCGUGGGGAGCGAACAGGAUUAGAUACCCCUGUAGUCC
Molecule: ribosomal RNA, 274 nt
Filed under: uncultured bacterium
Lineage: Bacteria
Description: partial 16S ribosomal RNA
Rfam family: Bacterial small subunit ribosomal RNA
Source: RNAcentral